GAUGAAGAACGCAGCGAAAUGCGAUAGUAGUGUGAAUUGCAGAAUUCAGUGAAUCAUCGAAUCUUUGAACGCACAUUGCGCCCCUUGGUAUUCCAUGGGGCAUGCCUGUUCGAGCGUCAUUUGUACCUUCAAGCUCUGCUUGGUGUUGGGUGUUUGUCUCGCCUCUGCGUGUAGACUCGCCUUAAAACAAUUGGCAGCCGGCGUAUUGAUUUCGGAGCGCAGUACAUCUCGCGCUUUGCACUCAUAACGACGACGUCCAAAAGUACAUUUUUACACUCUUGACCUCGGAUCAGGUAGGGAUACCCGCUGAACUUAAGCAUAUCAAUAAGCGGAGGA
Molecule: unclassified non-coding RNA, 336 nt
Filed under: soil metagenome
Description: partial contains 5.8S ribosomal RNA, internal transcribed spacer 2, and large subunit ribosomal RNA
Rfam family: 5.8S ribosomal RNA (bases 1-119)
Source: RNAcentral